AUUUAAUUUGUAUAUCGUUGUCAUUAGAAUAUUUUAUAAGAAAUAAUAAUUUUCUUUAAUUUAAGAUAAAAUUUUAUGUCAAAUCAAGGUGCAGUUUAUAUUUAAGUAGAAAUGAAUUACAAUAAUAUUUAAUUAAAUGAAUAUAUGAUUUAAAUAACAUAUUGAAGGUGGAUUUGAUAGUAAAUUUAUAAAUUUUAUUAAGUUGAUUAUAGCUCUAAAAUAUGCACACAUCGCCCGUCGCUCUCAUUAAAAUAUCGCCCGUCGCUCUCAUUACAUCGCCCGUCGCUCUCAUUACAUCGCC
Molecule: ribosomal RNA, 301 nt
Filed under: Phlebotomus perniciosus
Lineage: Eukaryota; Metazoa; Arthropoda; Insecta; Diptera; Psychodidae
Description: partial small subunit ribosomal RNA
Source: RNAcentral